UACGUAGGGGGCAAGCGUUGUCCGGAAUCAUUGGGUGUAAAGCGCGCGUAGGCGGCUUUGCAAGGCGGGUGUGAAAUCCCCAGGCUUAACCUGGGAACUGCAUUCGAGACUGCAUUGCUAGAGUAUGGGAGAGGGAAGUGGAAUUUCCGGUGUAGCGGUGAAAUGCGUAGAUAUCGGAAGGAACAUCAGUGGCGAAAGCGACUUCCUGGACCAAUACUGACGCUCAUGUGCGAAAGCGUGGGGAGCAAACAGG
RNAcentral lists this ribosomal RNA (253 nucleotides) under uncultured bacterium. Its description in RNAcentral is "partial 16S ribosomal RNA". It matches the Rfam family "Bacterial small subunit ribosomal RNA", at positions 524 to 776 of the family's 1533-position model. The record is from RNAcentral.